CCUACGGGAGGCAGCAGUGAGGAAUAUUGGGCAAUGCCCGCAAGGGUGACCCAGCAACGCCGCGUGGAGGAUGAAUGCCGUAAGGUUGUAAACUCCUGUGAGAAGGGAAGAAAGUGCGGAAUCGAAUUCCGCUUUGACUGUACCUUCAGAGGAAACCCCGGCUAACUACGUGCCAGCAGCCGCGGUAAUA
This 190-nucleotide ribosomal RNA is filed under the name uncultured Chlorobiales bacterium. Its description in RNAcentral is "partial 16S ribosomal RNA". It matches the Rfam family "Bacterial small subunit ribosomal RNA", at positions 338 to 525 of the family's 1533-position model. Lineage: Bacteria; Pseudomonadati; Chlorobiota; Chlorobiia; Chlorobiales. The record is from RNAcentral.